UACGUGAACCCCGAGCGUUAUCCGGAAUCAUUGGGCGUAAAGGGUCCGUAGGCGGUUAUAUUAGUCGUAUGUGAAAGCACCAGGCUCAACCUGGGACCCGCAUACGAAACGGUAUGACUAGAGAACGAGAGAGGUGAAUGGAACUCAUGGUGUAGGGGUGAAAUCCGUUGAUAUCAUGGGGAACACCAAAUGCGAAGGCAAUUCACUGGCUCGUUUCUGACGCUGAGGGACGAAACCCUGGGUAGCGAAUGGG
RNAcentral lists this ribosomal RNA (253 nucleotides) under uncultured bacterium. RNAcentral describes it as "partial 16S ribosomal RNA". It matches the Rfam family "Bacterial small subunit ribosomal RNA", at positions 524 to 776 of the family's 1533-position model. The record is from RNAcentral.